AGUGAACGCUGGCGGUAGGCCUAACACAUGCAAGUCGAACGGCAGCACAGUAAGAGCUUGCUCUUACGGGUGGCGAGUGGCGGACGGGUGAGGAAUACAUCGGAAUCUACUUUUUCGCGGGGGUUAACGUAGGGAAACUUACGCUAAUACCGCAUACGACCUACGGGUGAAAGCAGGGGAUCUUCGGACCUUGCGCGAUUGAAUGAGCCGAUGUCGGAUUAGCUAGUUGGCGGGGUAAAGGCCCACCAAGGCGACGAUCCGUAGCUGGUCUGAGAGGAUGAUCAGCCACACUGGAACUGAGACACGGUCCAGACUCCUACGGGAGGCAGCAGUGGGGAAUAUUGGACAAUGGGCGCAAGCCUGGUCCAGCCAUACCGCGUGGGUGAAGAAGGCCUUCGGGUUGUAAAGCCCUUUUGUUGGGAAAGAAAAGCAGCAGGUUAAUACCCCGCUGUUCUGACGGUACCCAAAGAAUAAGCACCGGCUAACUUCGUG
Molecule: ribosomal RNA, 492 nt
Filed under: uncultured bacterium
Lineage: Bacteria
Description: partial 16S ribosomal RNA
Rfam family: Bacterial small subunit ribosomal RNA
Source: RNAcentral